AGCGCGCUACCGCUUGAGCCACAUCCCCAGACCCUAAUUUUUAUUUUUAAACUUUAUUUACUUAUUUCUUUGGUGGUACUAGGGACUGAGCCCGGGGGUGCUUUACCACUACAUUUUCAGUCCUUUUCAUUUUAUUUUUAUUUUUUAUUUUUGAAACCGGGUUUUCCUAAGUUGCCCAGGCUGGCCUUGGAUGUACGAUCCUCCUGCUUCAGCCUCCCAAGUCACUAGGAUUACAGGCAUGUGCCACCAUCCUGGCAAGGGUCUUGGGGUCUUGAACAUCUAAUCCCAUCAUAGGCAAAUGCUGAGUACUUGGUUGUAGGAGGAGAACUAAAGCCCACCUGACCAUCCUGCCACCAUUCCACAGUGACCCCCAGAGGCAGGUGGGCAUCUAGGACCCCAGAGGGCUGUGGCAUGGCCAGUAUAAGGUAGGCAGUGUGGUAGAACCCUGUAGAGCACACUGGCACAAACUUGUUCUGUUGAAGGGCAAGUCGUCCAAAUUUUAGGCUUUGGGGCUCUUAAGGUCUCUGGCUCUGUCAGUUACCCAACUUUGCCAUACCUGAUGAAUGAAUCUGUGUUCCAAUAAAACUUUGUGGAUACUGAAAUUUUAAUAUUAUAGGAUUUCCAUAUAUGCCCAAAUUUUAUGCUUCUUCCCCCCCCCCCCCCCCAACCAUUGUAAAAUUCAUUCUAAUUGUUAGGUUGCACAAAAGCAGGCUAUGGGCAGAAUUUUGGCCAUAGUUUGCUGGUCCUGGUCCUAUAGAGCAAAGGUCUAGAGGUCAGCCAUCCUUCUUGCAGUCAAGUGCUGGCUAUUUCAUUAGCCAGUAGUGUGAUCCAGGACACGUUAGGCCUCUGUUUCUGUCAGCCUGGGACGGUGGCAUCUGUUGCUCAGGGAUUUCGUGAGAUGCAGUCUGGAAAAGCGCCAACUCUUUUUUCCAAUGAUUGGCAUGCAGCAACCCGUCCCACAUGCAAGCAAUGACCACUGCGCUGCCGUGAGUGUUCAGAGAUCAGUGGGAGGGGACAUGAAGGCUGGAGAGGCGGGGCUUCCUUUCUGGAGAAGGUCUGGGUGAGCAGACUGAUAGGAAACCUACUGAAAUGGAAGAAAGAGAAAAAUCUUCAGAGGUCCAAGGAUCUGGCCAUUGAAGGCUCUUAAGAGGUCCCCCUUCAAAGCAGUGCCAAGGGGAGGUGGGGUGGGCAGACACUGUGGACUGAAGAUGUGAGGCGAGGUUACUGGUGCCAAUCCCUUUGCUCCUCCAUCCUGAUUGGUGCAAGGGCAGGGCCUGAACAAAGCCCAGCUGACCAGAGCCCUUCCCUGAGACUGUGCACUUGGGAGAAUGCAAGCAAGUCCCUCUCUCGUCAGAGAACAUCACCACGUGAAAUGCAGUCCUGGCCAGCAGCUGUGUCCCCUGUCACCCAGGGCCUGCAAGUCAAAGAACCUGUGAUGUGAGAGGAUGGAGUCUAUCCCAACAGGAAGCAGAGACAAGAGAUUUAGUGAGUCCCUCAAAGGACUGUGUUCCUGCCCUUCCGCGGUUUGUGGCUUGGUGACUGAUUUCUUCCUCUGCUGGUGGGGCUAUCCAAAUCCUUUGAAUAAACUCCUGUUUCUCUAA
Long non-coding RNA from Marmota monax (woodchuck), 1601 nucleotides. RefSeq lists it as uncharacterized. The transcript is spliced from 2 exons. NCBI's taxonomy places the organism in Eukaryota, Metazoa, Chordata, Mammalia, Rodentia, Sciuridae. The record is from RefSeq and is a predicted model, not a curated record.